This is a long non-coding RNA of Eucalyptus grandis, 1097 nucleotides long. RefSeq lists it as uncharacterized. Lineage: Eukaryota; Viridiplantae; Streptophyta; Magnoliopsida; Myrtales; Myrtaceae. The record is from RefSeq and is a predicted model, not a curated record. The transcript has 2 exons.
ACAAGUCAGAGGAGGCAGAGGAUCGUGAGGAGGGGCAGGUAGCGGCGUGAUCCACGUGUCGGGUCAGGCCUCCAGGCAAGCUGGCAAUGGCAGAGGCCAUGCGCGCUUGCGCGGUUGCCCUUCAAGGCGAGGGGGACUCGCUCGUUUGAAAAAAAAAAAAAAGAUGAAGGAGAGAAGCUUGAGUGGAGCCAAGGGGAGAAAGAGAAAAGGUGGGAGAGAACUGGCCGUGAAAGAGGGGGUUCUAGAGGAGAGCGCUCCGGUUCCUCUACCAAGAUCGCCGGCAAAUCUCUUCCCCCUGUUGUCCGUUCAUACGCUCGCUCAUCACCGAAAAAACGUCGCAUAAGCCGGGCUCAAGUCGCUGAGAAAGGGCGAGUCCAGCUCAAGCCUCCGAGAUAGUCGAUUACGUCUCGCUUAAAAAGCCAGAUGUCGACGCUUCCUAAAAUCUCUCUGUUGCUUUCGUUCUCGGUUUGGUGCUAGCUGUAAUCUGAGCUCGUGAAAUGGAAUUUGGCCAAGCAAGUUUGGCUGGUUCAAGCUCGAUCAACGAAGCAGAGCUCAAGAAGAAGAAUGGGAGAAUAAGGGUACGAUUCUUGUGCAUAUCCUCCUCUGUUUUGGGGGUGAAAUUUGAGGAAAUAUUAGCCCUGAAAACUUGUCUGUGCGCUUGCGUUUGGCUAGACGCGGGCUAAUGUGCACGGCAUUGAUGUGCAGCAUCGCAGUUUACUGCCUUGUGAGCUGGUUCUGUCUUCUUUAAAGAUGGAGCGUGGCAAAUCAGGAUGUAUUCUCUAAAAGAGGCUGUGCUGUUCGCGUGCCUGUGAAUUUCUGUGAACAGCUUUAGUUUAUAUUUAGCUUUGGAAUGUAUUGGUACAGGGGACACAAGUUGGCUGCGGGGUCAUUAAAGAAGAUGGAAUUAGCCACAAGUCAUUCCUAGCUGAUCAUAGAAAAAACGCUGGAGCAUGCCUACUUGCCUUGCAGGUUAAAAUAUGCCCUGUAGUUCCUAUAUUUCUGGUUAUUAAAUGACUUUGCAUUCUCAUCUCGAGAAAGGGAUCGAGAAAAUCAUGGUGGUGAGUGUGUUUUCGAAUCAAAAUGAGAGCCUUGAUUCA